This 289-nucleotide unclassified non-coding RNA is filed under the name uncultured fungus. RNAcentral's name for it is "partial contains 5.8S rRNA, ITS2 and 28S rRNA". It matches the Rfam family "Eukaryotic large subunit ribosomal RNA", at positions 668 to 961 of the family's 3401-position model. The record is from RNAcentral. Lineage: Eukaryota; Fungi.
AAGGAGUCUAACAUGCUUGCGAGUAUUUGGGUGUCAAACCCGGAUGCGUAAUGAAAGUGAAUGGAGGUGGGAAGCGCAAGCUGCACCAUCGACCGAUCUGGAUUUUCUAAGAUGGAUUUGAGUAAGAGCACGUAUGUUGGGACCCGAAAGAUGGUGAACUAUGCCUGAAUAGGGCGAAGCCGGAGGAAACUCUGGUGGAGGCUCGUAGCGGUUCUGACGUGCAAAUCGAUCGUCAAAUUUGGGUAUAGGGGCGAAAGACUAAUCGAACCAUCUAGUAGCUGGUUCCUGC